This 1398-nucleotide ribosomal RNA is filed under the name Burkholderia cepacia. RNAcentral describes it as "bacterial SSU rRNA". It matches the Rfam family "Bacterial small subunit ribosomal RNA". Lineage: Bacteria; Pseudomonadati; Pseudomonadota; Betaproteobacteria; Burkholderiales; Burkholderiaceae. The record is from RNAcentral.
GCAAGUCGAACGGCAGCACGGGUGCUUGCACCUGGUGGCGAGUGGCGAACGGGUGAGUAAUACAUCGGAACAUGUCCUGUAGUGGGGGAUAGCCCGGCGAAAGCCGGAUUAAUACCGCAUACGAUCUAUGGAUGAAAGCGGGGGACCUUCGGGCCUCGCGCUAUAGGGUUGGCCGAUGGCUGAUUAGCUAGUUGGUGGGGUAAAGGCCUACCAAGGCGACGAUCAGUAGCUGGUCUGAGAGGACGACCAGCCACACUGGGACUGAGACACGGCCCAGACUCCUACGGGAGGCAGCAGUGGGGAAUUUUGGACAAUGGGCGAAAGCCUGAUCCAGCAAUGCCGCGUGUGUGAAGAAGGCCUUCGGGUUGUAAAGCACUUUUGUCCGGAAAGAAAUCCUUGGCUCUAAUACAGUCGGGGGAUGACGGUACCGGAAGAAUAAGCACCGGCUAACUACGUGCCAGCAGCCGCGGUAAUACGUAGGGUGCAAGCGUUAAUCGGAAUUACUGGGCGUAAAGCGUGCGCAGGCGGUUUGCUAAGACCGAUGUGAAAUCCCCGGGCUCAACCUGGGAACUGCAUUGGUGACUGGCAGGCUAGAGUAUGGCAGAGGGGGGUAGAAUUCCACGUGUAGCAGUGAAAUGCGUAGAGAUGUGGAGGAAUACCGAUGGCGAAGGCAGCCCCCUGGGCCAAUACUGACGCUCAUGCACGAAAGCGUGGGGAGCAAACAGGAUUAUAUACCCUGGUAGUCCACGCCCUAGACGAUGUCAACUAGUUGUUGGGGAUUCAUUUCCUUAGUAACGUAGCUAACGCGUGAAGUUGACCGCCUGGGGAGUACGGUCGCAAGAUUAAAACUCAAAGGGAUUGACGGGGGCCCGCACAAGCGGUGGAUGAUGUGGAUUAAUUCGAUGCAACGCGAAAAACCUUACCUACCCUUGACAUGGUCGGAAUCCUGAAGAGAUUCGGGAGUGCUCGAAAGAGAACCGGCGCACAGGUGCUGCAUGGCUGUCGUCAGCUCGUGUCGUGAGAUGUUGGGUUAAGUCCCGCAACGAGCGCAACCCUUGUCCUUAGUUGCUACGCAAGAGCACUCUAAGGAGACUGCCGGUGACAAACCGGAGGAAGGUGGGGAUGACGUCAAGUCCUCAUGGCCCUUAUGGGUAGGGCUUCACACGUCAUACAAUGGUCGGAACAGAGGGUUGCCAACCCGCGAGGGGGAGCUAAUCCCAGAAAACCGAUCGUAGUCCGGAUUGCACUCUGCAACUCGAGUGCAUGAAGCUGGAAUCGCUAGUAAUCGCGGAUCAGCAUGCCGCGGUGAAUACGUUCCCGGGUCUUGUACACACCGCCCGUCACACCAUGGGAGUGGGUUUUACCAGAAGUGGCUAGUCUAACCGCAAGGAGGACGGU